CCCAUCACCACCGCCAAGAAACGCUCACUCGACAUGGCAGACUCUGCGUGUAGCAGCGCCCCAGGCUCAGGGCCGAGCUCCCCAAAUAACAGCUCCAACAACAUCCCCAACGAGAACGGCAUCACUGUGUCGGUCUGCAACAACACAGAGGCGUCUCUGGCCCAGAGGCUGUGCAGCGGUGCUGAGCGGG
Non-coding RNA from Labrus bergylta (ballan wrasse), 190 nucleotides. Lineage: Eukaryota; Metazoa; Chordata; Actinopteri; Labriformes; Labridae. The record is from RefSeq and is a predicted model, not a curated record.